Melospiza melodia melodia is the source of this 143-nucleotide long non-coding RNA. RefSeq lists it as uncharacterized. NCBI's taxonomy places the organism in Eukaryota, Metazoa, Chordata, Aves, Passeriformes, Passerellidae. The record is from RefSeq and is a predicted model, not a curated record. The transcript is spliced from 3 exons.
CGGUUAGGAGGUGCUGGGCAUUCCUAGGAGCGCGCUGUCUGAGAGACACCAGCCUGGUGCUAGCAGGACCUUCCAAGUUUUAGGAAGUCAAGGCAGAGAGCAGCUGUCAAGGCUGAGUGGGCAAGGUGAGCAUUGAGUAGCUU